Molecule: long non-coding RNA, 448 nt
Filed under: Phoenix dactylifera (date palm)
Lineage: Eukaryota; Viridiplantae; Streptophyta; Magnoliopsida; Arecales; Arecaceae
Description: long non-coding RNA (PDAC_LNC013705)
Source: RNAcentral
AGAGCAAUGUUUAUUGUUUAGUUUUAUUUUAAUUAAGAGCAAUGUGUUGUUUUGAUUCUGAAUUUUAAUUGAGAGCAAUGUGUUUUGAGUUUGUAUUAAGAACAAUGUUUUAAGUUUUAAAUUUAGAGAAUUUUAUUUUGGUGGAGAAUUUUACUUUUAAGAUUUUAUUUAUGCUGAAAUUUUAAUUUCUUUUAUGCAAUACAUUAAAUCUUCUUUUAUGAAAUUUAUGUUUGCUUCAAUCCUCUUAGUUUCAUCCUUUUCAAUUCAUGCCAAAAUUUUCCUUUGAAUAGUUAAACAUUUCAUGAAUUUAUAAAUGUUCUUUGAUUUCUAAAUACUUGUUUUUUUUUAUUUUUAAAUAAAGAAAAUUCUCCGGUAGACUAGAGAAUCCAUCAACAUCCUCAUAAUAAUGUUUUUCUUUAAUCAUUCAAAAAUCGAUUUCAAAUCCGAG